Long non-coding RNA from Raphanus sativus (radish), 553 nucleotides. RefSeq lists it as uncharacterized. The transcript has 2 exons. Lineage: Eukaryota; Viridiplantae; Streptophyta; Magnoliopsida; Brassicales; Brassicaceae. The record is from RefSeq and is a predicted model, not a curated record.
GAUAAUAUUCAACUGAAGUGAUCAACAAACAAAGACAUCGCCAAAUCAACCAAACAUUUCAAAACAAACUAAUAAAUGAAGUGUUCUACCAGUGAUACUUUGUGAUGAUCGACCAAUAAGUGACGGUACUUAUAACUGCCGCCGGUUCGUUCUCUUCGUGAAGAUGAAAAGAUCAUCUCUUGAAACUUAUGAAUUGGUGAGAAGUCUAGACCGACUGUUUGUCUGAUUGCAAAGUUGGAUAAAUUGGUCCGUAACAGGAUUACUUCGUUGAGGAGAAGAAAAAGAAGCAAGCAUGAGAAGACUAUGGAGAUAUGGUUUGGAAAAAAAUAAAGGAGAAUAGAAAGUUUCUGAUUUAUUUUUAAAAUUUUGUAUUAAGGCAGCAGACUAAACUCUGUACAAAGGUUUUUUUUGUUUGAAUAAAUUUAAAGUUCUUUUAGAAAAAAAGAAUUAGUGACACUUUCUUAAUCCAUAUUUGCUAUCUCUUAGUUUGCUAUGCUUAAUUUCUUUUGUUUUUGAGUGAGGUUAAAUUUCGAGAUCUUUUAUAAGAUUAUGA